UCCAAGGUCGACACAGUCCACAUGGUCCACCUCCUCCUAGACCGCAAAGCCUAAUGGGACAUGUAGUUUCAUGUCAUCUCUCACUUGGGCCUCACGGAGAUGGCUACCUGUUUCCUCUCCGGUGCUUGUGUUAUCUACUGAGUUGAUGGCAAACGAAGUAGCAGCAGGCAUCACCAUGGUAAAAGACGGCCAUGACACCCAGCUGUCUGGGAUCUCCUCUGCCUGGAACCCUUGCCUGCCUUCCCCAACCCAUUUGGCACCGGUGCCCCCUCAUCUGGAUUCCCCAUUCCGCCCGGACCCCUCCCUGGAACCCCGACCUGCUUCCCUCCCGAUCACCGGAACCCACAGCAGCAAACCAGCGGCUCAUUGCCUCCCGGAGCCUCCUGGAACACCAUCGGCGAGACGUCCUUCUCUGCCUGGCCAACCCAACACCUCGGCCCCCUCCCGGAUCGUCAGAGUCCGACGUCCCGCCUCCUCCAUACACCUCGUCAUCUGCUGGACACUUUGCCCCACCAACGUCUGGCCGCCAGGGAUGCCCCACCUCCAUCCGCAACAUUCUGGUCCUCCCUGGACUACAGAUGACCGCCGAUCCCCGGCCCCCAGACCCAUCCGGUUAAAACCCUCACUCCGUCAGCCCCCCACAUUCCUGCACUCUGAUCUUCUUGAUCCCAGCCAUUAUUCACCCCCUCACAAUAAAGAUCCUUCUCAAACUCC
Long non-coding RNA from Acanthochromis polyacanthus (spiny chromis), 714 nucleotides. RefSeq lists it as uncharacterized. The record is from RefSeq and is a predicted model, not a curated record. The transcript has 2 exons. NCBI's taxonomy places the organism in Eukaryota, Metazoa, Chordata, Actinopteri, Pomacentridae.